Molecule: ribosomal RNA, 252 nt
Filed under: uncultured bacterium
Lineage: Bacteria
Description: partial 16S ribosomal RNA
Rfam family: Bacterial small subunit ribosomal RNA
Source: RNAcentral
UACGUAGGGUCCGAGCGUUGUCCGGAAUUACUGGGCGUAAAGAGCUCGUAGGUGGUUUGUCGCGUUGUUCGUGAAAACUCACAGCUUAACUGUGGGCGUGCGGGCGAUACGGGCAGACUUGAGUACUGCAGGGGAGACUGGAAUUCCUGGUGUAGCGGUGGAAUGCGCAGAUAUCAGGAGGAACACCGGUGGCGAAGGCGGGUCUCUGGGCAGUAACUGACGCUGAGGAGCGAAAGCGUGGGGAGCGAACGG